This 1247-nucleotide long non-coding RNA is filed under the name Coturnix japonica (Japanese quail). RNAcentral's name for it is "lncRNA (ENSCJPG00005000400.1)". The record is from RNAcentral. Lineage: Eukaryota; Metazoa; Chordata; Aves; Galliformes; Phasianidae.
GGAGAAGCAUUUUCAGGUGUCAAGACACCAGCAUCAGCAUCUUUGCUUUCUUGUGAAAUGUGCUUUCUGGUUUAUUCUUCUGCCGUUCAGAAGCACACCCUGCCUUAGCACACCCAUUUCAAAUCAUUUUUGACUGUGGAUUUGUCCUGUAGAUGUGAACAUAUAUACACACAGACAAGCAUGUUUGCAGGCCAAGCCAUACUUUCUUUGGAGUUCACCACAAAUAGGAUGGCUAAUUUUUGACCAGAUGAUCUUUAGAAAUCCUCCCAAAGCAAACCAUUUUACGAUUCAACAUCAUUUUGGUUUAGAGAAAGACUGAAAGAAUCAUUACCAAUCAAUUGCUGAGAUGCUCAUAAGACUCAGCUCGGGUGUCAGUCAGAACCCACUGAGCUAUGAAGUCACUAUACUAGCUUUAUUCCUGAGUAGAGAUGCUGUGCUCUUGGAUGCCUUCUACUGUUUGUCACAUAAUGAAGGCAGUGUCCAACCUGACAAAGCUGCUGAGGGUGCCAGAGUUGAAGAGGGCAGAGGGAGAAAAAGAAGGAGAGAGCUGUAAGCAAAAUACUUAGAUUAUGUCAGUGAAGAUUUAGAGAAAGGUUCAAGUAUCUAGAAGCUUCAAGUACAUUUUUGAUCCCUUUUGGAUCUGACUAACCUUUCUUGACUGGCUGGUUGCUGGUUUUGGAGCUGCCGCAAGACAUGCCCACCGGGCAGUUGGGUGUCAAGCUGUUCCAGACAGAACAUUUUGAAACAUCUAAUAUGAAAGUGUCAAACUACUUUGUCCAGGAGAUGAGUGUGAUCUGAUGUGGUGGUUUCACACUAAAAGGUAGCUGAACUCCACUGCGUUGCUGAUUCUUUUUACCUUCUCAAAGGAACAGGAGGAGAAGACAUGGAGAUCUUAUGUCAGUUACCAUCAGGGGCAAAAUAGACUCAGCAUAGAGAGAUUAAUGUAAUAUAUUGUCAACUGAUAACAGUCUAAGACAGUGAGAAACAGAAGCAGACUAAACCCUAUUUCCUCCUACCUCCUGCCACACUGUGAGCGUCAUUCCAAGGCUGCAGCCCAGGGCUGAUCUUGCAGGGACUAUCUACAGGCUGUACCUCCUCCAGACCUCAUCUAGCAUUGCACUGCUUACUCCUCCGUUGCUGUGUGGGGCAGUGUACUCCAUGCAGAGUGUACAGGCUGCAGGGAGCUUCUGUUCUGCACCCAGAACACCUCCUGCCCUCCUCCUGCACUGCCCUUGGUGCCUGUAGGG